GGUGAACGCUGGCGGUAGGCCUAAUACAUGCAAGUCGAACGGCAGGACGAGAAGAUCGUGCUCUUGCGGGUGGCGGGGGGCGGACGGGUAAGGAAUACAUCGGAAUCUACUUUUUCGGGGGGGAUAACGGAGGAAAACUGACGCUACUAGCUCAUACGACCUACGGGUGAAAGCAAGAGAGCUUGGGAGCUUUCGCGAUUGAAUUAGCCGAUGUCGGAUUAGCUAGUUGGGUGGGUAAGGGCACACCAAGGCGACGAUCCGUAGCUGGGCUGAGAGGAUGAUCAGCCACACUGGAACUGAGACACGGUCCAGACUCCUACGGGAGGCAGCAGUGGGGAAUCUUGCGCAAUGGGCGCAAGCCUGACCCAGCCACACCGCGUGGGUGAAGAAGGCCUUCGGGUUGUAAAGCCCUUUUGUUGGGAAAGAAAAGAAGUAGGUUAAUCCCCGGAUGUUUUGACGGUACCCAAAGAAUAAGCAACGGCUAACUUCGUG
Molecule: ribosomal RNA, 492 nt
Filed under: uncultured bacterium
Lineage: Bacteria
Description: partial 16S ribosomal RNA
Rfam family: Bacterial small subunit ribosomal RNA
Source: RNAcentral